This 425-nucleotide ribosomal RNA is filed under the name uncultured bacterium. Its description in RNAcentral is "bacterial SSU rRNA". It matches the Rfam family "Bacterial small subunit ribosomal RNA", at positions 356 to 773 of the family's 1533-position model. The record is from RNAcentral.
GGGGAAUUUUGGACAAUGGGCGCAAGCCUGAUCCAGCAAUGCCGCGUGAGUGAAGAAGGCCUUCGGGUUGUAAAGCUCUUUUGUCAGGGAAGAAACGGCGGAGGUUAAUACCUUCUGCUAAUGACGGUACCUGAAGAAUAAGCACCGGCUACCUACGUGCCAGCAGCCGCGGUAAUACGUAGGUGGCAAGCGUUGUCCGGAUUUACUGGGCGUAAAGGGCGUGCAGGCGGCUUGUUAAGUGCAGGGUGAAAGCUCCCGGCUCAACUGGGAGAGGUCCUUGCAUACUGGCGAGCUCGAGGGAGGCAGAGGAAAGUGGAAUUCCCGGUGUAGUGGUGAUAUGCGUAGAUAUCGGGAGGAACACCUGUGGCGAAGGCGGCUUUCUGGGCCUUACCUGACGCUGAGACGCGAAAGCGUGGGGAGCGAAC